This 692-nucleotide long non-coding RNA is filed under the name Numida meleagris (helmeted guineafowl). RNAcentral's name for it is "lncRNA (ENSNMEG00000006061.1)". Lineage: Eukaryota; Metazoa; Chordata; Aves; Galliformes; Numididae. The record is from RNAcentral.
CCCAGCUGAGGAUUGCUGCCAUGGAUCCUCUUUGAAAGGUUGAUAAAUAAUCAUAGAAUUGUUUUCAUUGUACAGAAUGUUGUCCUUCAGCGUGCUGUGCACAUCUUGGAUUCUGUUCAGUUCUCUUAGUCAGAGAGCAGCCCCGUGCUCCAGGACAACAGAGAUACUUCUCAGUGCAGGUUGGCAUUUUUGUGGAUGAAUACCACUGGGAGUUAAGGACUUGCUGUGACUCUCACUCUUACUUAUAGGAGUUUUGCCUGCAGCAGUCACAUAGUUGAAAAAUAUGGAUCCAUGUGACUGCUAAGAGACCACUGAGAAGCCAACUGCUCUGCUCUGCGCUGACCCUUCCCACCCGCCUGCUCUCGGGCAUACCCUGCACUGCUGCCCAUGGCGUGGAGGAGCAGAACGGGAUGUGUUCCAUGCCCCUCACAGCCCAAGACCUGGCAGGAGCUCCACCACCCGCCCAGCUCUUCUUCACACAUCUCCCAGGCGCUAAGUGGGAAGAACUAGAGGUAGACCAGAAGCAGCCAGCACGCCCUGCGAGUAGGAGCUCCGAGGGACUUUGCAGCUCAGCUUCCAUUCUGCUCACCUGGUGCAUCCUCUGCACUCCUACGUACGCAGAGAAACAGAUUUUGAGUUCUGAUUGUUCUGUCCAAAGAAGGAAAGCUAGUUCAUGGAGCUUGCUGGAAUAA